This 390-nucleotide ribosomal RNA is filed under the name uncultured bacterium. RNAcentral describes it as "bacterial SSU rRNA". It matches the Rfam family "Bacterial small subunit ribosomal RNA", at positions 29 to 417 of the family's 1533-position model. The record is from RNAcentral.
AUUGAACGCUGGCGGCGUGCCUAACACAUGCAAGUCGAGCGGUAACAGGUGUAGCAAUACAUGCUGACGAGCGGCGGACGGGUGAGUAACGCUUGGGAAUCUGCCUAUUAGUGGGGGACAACCCGGGGAAACUCGGGCUAAUACCGCAUACGCUCUACGGAGGAAAGCCGGGGACCGCAAGGCCUGGCGCUAAUAGAUGAGCCCAAGUCGGAUUAGCUAGUUGGUAGGGUAAGGCCUACCAAGGCGACGAUCCGUAACUGGUCUGAGAGGACGACCAGUCACACCGGAACUGAGACACGGUCCGGACUCCGUACGGGAGGCAGCAGUGGGGAAUAUUGGACAAUGGGCGAAAGCCUGACUCCAGCGACGCCGCGUGGGUGAAGAAGGCCU